GGGAAUAUAGCUUAGUGGUAGAGUGCUUGCCUAGUAUGCAUGAAACCCUGGGUUCAAGCCCCAGUACAUCAG
This is a non-coding RNA of Fukomys damarensis (Damara mole-rat), 72 nucleotides long. Lineage: Eukaryota; Metazoa; Chordata; Mammalia; Rodentia; Bathyergidae. The record is from Rfam.